AAGAUUAAGCCAUGCAUGUCUAAGUAUAAGCAAUUAUACCGCGAAACUGCGAAUGGCUCAUUAUAUAAGUUAUCGUUUAUUUGAUAAUACUUUACUACUUGGAUAACCGUGGUAAUUCUAGAGCUAAUACAUGCUAAAAAUCCCGACUUCGGAAGGGUUGUAUUUAUUAGAUUAAAAACCAAUGCCCCUCGGGGCUCUCUGGUGAAUCAUGAUAACUAGUCGAAUCGACAGGCCUUGUGCCGGCGAUGGCUCAUUCAAAUUUCUUCCCUAUCAACUUUCGAUGUUUGGGUCUUGUCCAAACAUGGUGGCAACGGGUAACGGAGGGUUAGGGCUCGACCCCGGAGAAGGAGCCUGAGAAACGGCUACUACAUCCAAGGAAGGCAGCAGGCGCGCAAAUUACCCAAUCCCGACACGGGGAGGUAGUGACAAUAAAUACUGAUACAGGGCUCUUUUGGGUCUUGUAAUCGGAAUGAGUACAAUUUAAAUCCCUUAACGAGGAACAAUUGGAGGGCAAGUCUGGUGCCAGCAGCCGCGGUAAUUCCAGCUCCAAUAGCGUAUAUUAAAGUUGUUGUGGUUAAAAAGCUCGUAGUUGAACCUUGGGCCUGGCUGGCCGGUCCGCCUCACCGCGUGCACUGGUCCGGCCGGGCCUUUCCCUCUGCGGAACCCCAUGCCCUUCACUGGGUGUGGCGGGGAAACAGGACUUUUACUUUGAAAAAAUUAGAGUGCUCAAGGCAGGCCUAUGCUCGAAUACAUUAGCAUGGAAUAAUAGAAUAGGACGUGUGGUUCUAUUUUGUUGGUUUCUAGGACCGCCGUAAUGAUUAAUAGGGACAGUCGGGGGCAUCAGUAUUCAAUUGUCAGAGGUGAAAUUCUUGGAUUUAUUGAAGACUAACUACUGCGAAAGCAUUUGCCAAGGAUGUUUUCAUUAAUCAGGAACGAAAGUUAGGGGAUCGAAGACGAUCAGAUACCGUCGUAGUCUUAACCAUAAACUAUGCCGACUAGGGAUCGGACGAUGUUACAUUUUUGACGCGUUCGGCACCUUACGAGAAAUCAAAGUGCUUGGGCUCCAGGGGGAGUAUGGUCGCAAGGCUGAAACUUAAAGAA
This 1101-nucleotide ribosomal RNA is filed under the name Hypocreales sp. CMCA18. Its description in RNAcentral is "SSU rRNA". It matches the Rfam family "Eukaryotic small subunit ribosomal RNA", at positions 40 to 1151 of the family's 1831-position model. The record is from RNAcentral. Lineage: Eukaryota; Fungi; Ascomycota; Sordariomycetes; Hypocreales.